RNAcentral lists this long non-coding RNA (2658 nucleotides) under Ananas comosus (pineapple). RNAcentral describes it as "long non-coding RNA (ACOM_LNC032865)". The record is from RNAcentral. Lineage: Eukaryota; Viridiplantae; Streptophyta; Magnoliopsida; Poales; Bromeliaceae.
UGUUGUUUUCCAAUUUAUUAAAAAUUGAAAUUGAGAAGACACCUGAGAAUGGAUUUCUAGACAGAAAAUAAUUUUCUAUCAAAAUUUCAAAUAAUCAUCUAGAUUGUUCUACAUUUUAAACUUACAAACACCUCAAAUCCGCUAUUAAAAUUAUCGACCCUAACACAAGUGGCUAAGGAUUUGAUGGUUGAUUUUUAAGAUCACAAAUUCGAAACGUAGUUGCUUCAUCUUUUCAUCUAAUUAAGUUCAUCUCUAAAAACCAUGAACUAGCGAUAACAUGCUAGCUAUCAUUCUCUCUAAAUAUUUCAAAAUUUUUAUUUAACUUUAUUUUUGAUGAUGAGACAUGUAUCCGAAUCAACAAUAAUUAACUCUAUUUGACAUGACCUAUAAUAAUAUUUGAGGUAACAUGGGCACAAGUAAUCAUCAUGUGUUUGAAUUAAUGAUGCUUUUCUCUUUCAUAUAUGUAUAUCUUUUUGUACAAUUGUAUAAUAUCUAGGAAUUCUUUUUUUUUUUUCUUUAUUCACUAAUAUAUAUAGAGCGAGAGUGACAUAUACUAUGCAUCCACCUAGGUUAAUUAAGCCCUAGCUAGAUGUUUGUUGCUAAAAUAUUAAAGAGCUAGCAACUAUAUAUGUACCCAUACAUCUAUUUCAAUCGAGAUAAUUAAUUAAUGCUCAUGUAACUUAUAGCUAGCUAGCUUGGAUAUUUACUCUCAACUUGUAUUAUUAUUCAUGACAUGAAAAAGUUAAUAGAAUAAAUAAAAGGAGAUUGAGAGAUAACAUCAUCCGAUGCUUUUUAUAAGCAUAAAAGAAAUCUCAUUUCUAAGAAAAAUAAACCAAGCAGUUAGUAUGCUAGUCUCUCAAAUAUAUAUAUAUAUAUAAUUCUCUCUCUCUCUCUCUCUCUCUCUAUAUAUAUAUAUAUAGAGUUUUGGUAGAAUGCUAUUGGUAGUAAACGGCUCGAUUUACUAUCGAUUUGUUUUCGAUAAUAGAGCUUCAAAAUUGAUGAUCGGCACCGUUAAACAUGAUUUAAACUCUUUAAACUAUCUGGAAAUCAAAUUUAACACCUUUUCCAUGUUGUUCUCUUGUCCAUCAAGUGAAUAGAAAAAUAAAUGGCUGGAAAUGAAUAUCCUUCAAAAAGUGAUAAUACAAUUUUUAUAUUUGAGAUCUAGAGUCUAGAUCUUAUUUUAAAUAGUUUAAAGAAUUUUUUAACAAAAAUUUAGUUGAUUUGAACUCUUCUAUACAAUUAAACGAGCAAACACACCAUAUUGGCCAUUAAAAUUAUAGAUUUUGCGACCCUUCGAUCGUUCAGUUAGUGAUGCCAAAAAAUCAUGAAAUUUGAUUUCUAGAUAAUUUAAAUGGUCUAGAUCAUGUUCAACGGUGCCGAUCGUCGAUUUGAAAGGUCUAUCAUCAAAAACAAAUUGGUAGUAAACCAAACAAUUUACUACCAAUAGUAGCCCAGUCAAACUCUCUCUCUCUCUCUCUCUCUCUCUCUCUCUAUAUAUAUAUAUAUAUAUUUCAAUAAUUAAUAUCUUAAUAAAUAGAAGAGAAGUAUAUAUAUUAAUAUCUCUUCUUCCUUUAUCAUUGUGUACCAGCAAGAAGUUUUGUUCUCCACUGUAUUGUACGUAGAGUGACCAAAUCAAACUACAAAUUUAAUGUGAAUAUGUACAUUUACAUAUUCCUAUUAAUUCUCUCUCUCUCUCUCUCUCUCUCUCUCUCUCUCUCUCUACAUAUAUAUAUAUUUAUCCAUUUUGUUUGUUUUUUUUUACUCCUUGGACCACAUGCAUGAAUCCAUGGACAAUUACAUUGUCUAUAUAUUUACAGUUCACUCCCAAUGCUGACAUUUGGUUUUGCUCUCCCUUCUCUCAUAUUUUGCUUGUGAUUUUAGGUCCAUGUACAACUUCAUUUUUUAGCUUUGUUUUUGUUUUUUAAUUUGAAUAAACUAUUUUACAACUUUUUUUGUAGUAGAGGAACAUUCAUUACUUAAUUGGUUGUUUAGUUUCAUCUCUUAUUUCUCUGUUCUAGGGAGAAUAUUUAUAUUCUUCUUUUUUAAAAUAUCUUUAUAUUCUUCUUUUUCCAGCCCUAUGUAUAUAUAACAACUUUAUGAAAAAAUUUACACAUAUAGCUUACAAUAAAACUACAAAUUUGAGAAGAUUCUGUUGUUUUCCAAUUUAUUAACCAAUAAUUUGCACAUAUAUAUAUAUUACAAAUUGAAUUUGAGAAGACACCUAAGAAUGGAUUCCUAGAUAGUGAAAAAUAAUUUUCUAUUAAAAUUUCAAAUCAUUUAGAUUAUUCUACAUUUUUUAAACUUACAAACACCUUAAAUUUGCCAUUAAAAUUAUCGAUUUUGACCGACCGUCUAUAGCAUAAGUGACAAAAGACUUGAUGGUUGGUGCUCAUGCAAGAUUCCGAGUUCGAAACCUAAUUCCUUCACAUUUUCAGUUAAGUAUAUUUCUAAAAACCACGAAUAUAGCAUAGUAGUAUGCUAUCGUUCUCUCUCGAAAAAAAAAAAAAAUCAUUGAUCAUGAUAUAAAAAAUUAUAAAAUAUGGCUUCUAAAUAUUUUUAAAUAUUUUUAUUUAAUUUUGUUUUUGAUGAUGAGGCAAUGUACCCGAAUCAACAACCAUUAACUCUAUUAGACAUGACCUAUAAUAAUAUUUGAGGUAA